RNAcentral lists this ribosomal RNA (497 nucleotides) under uncultured bacterium. RNAcentral's name for it is "partial 16S ribosomal RNA". It matches the Rfam family "Bacterial small subunit ribosomal RNA", at positions 28 to 507 of the family's 1533-position model. The record is from RNAcentral.
GAUGAACGCUGGCGGCGUGCCUAAUACAUGCGAGUCGAGCGAACAGAUAAGGAGCUUGCUCCUUUGACGUUAGCGGCGGACGGGUGAGUAACACGUGGGUAACCUACCUAUAAGACUGGAAUAACUCCGGGAAACCGGGGCUAAUGCCGGAUAACAUUUAGAACCGCAUGGUUCUAAAGUGAAAGAUGGUUUUGCUAUCACUUAUAGAUGGACCCGCGCCGUAUUAGCUAGUUGGUAAGGUAACGGCUUACCAAGGCAACGAUACGUAGCCGACCUGAGAGGAUGAUCGGCCACACUGGAACUGAGACACGGUCCAGACUCCUACGGGAGGCAGCAGUAGGGAAUCUUCCGCAAUGGGCGAAAGCCUGACGGAGCAACGCCGCGUGAGUGAUGAAGGUCUUCGGAUCGUAAAACUCUGUUAUUAGGGAAGAACAAAUGUGUAAGUAACUGUGCACGUCUUGACGGUACCUAAUCAGAAAGCCACGGCUAACUACGUG